GGUAUGUACUGUAGGCUGAGGAGGUGAUUAUCGCGUGCCGGUUAAUCGAUAACUUUAUAUUUUUUCCCCGCUGAAACUGAUUAGGAAGUGAUAACAACAAAGUAUCUGUACGUCCUGUGCCUUGGAGUGCGUGGUGGUGACUUCAUUGAGCCCAGAACACGGCAGAUAAUGCAAGUAUUAACCUUAUCAAUUAGGACCAUAUGCUGGAAUGCUUCUGCACGGCACCUGAACUAUUUUCAAUAGGCUCUUGUUUGAAGUUACACGGGUUUUCUAAUAGUGUUUUCACAGUUUUAGUGACAAAUUAAUAACAUUUCUACAUUAUUAACUGGAGAAACACUCCUGAGAACCAGGCUAAUCAUCUCUGUGACCUUUGAAAACAGUCGUGAUGAGAGUAGAGCGUUUCAGAAUACGAGCCUAUCACUGGCCGGCUACCCUGUGUAUUUCUGUUUUUCACUGGUAAAUUUGUUUGGGAAAUGAUAUUAAUGAACUGACCGUGCCCCCCGUGCCUUGAAGACCUGGAGUGCGUGGCAUUGUCUUCAUUGGGCCCAAAAGACACCAGGUGGUCGACAAAUCGUCCUUAUGGCCUUGGGAUGGAAGGCUGCCACCACCACCACCACCACCACCACCACCACCACCACCACCAUCACCGUCACCACAAAGCCGCACAAAUCCAGGUUAUGGUAUACAGAGCACAGGAUGAGACAAAUAAGGAGGUACUGUGCCUUGAAUAUCCCCUGCACGGCCUCGUUUCCUCGCCUCUCCAUGCACACCACGCGGCGCUAAGUAACCACUCCUCGUUAGCAAGAUUUACCCACACGGACGCUUACAUAAUUCGUGGUCGUUUUAGAGGUGUAGUUCCGCCCACUCACGUCGCCCACGCCUAUGCAUUGUAUAUAAAACUUUUUUAUAUAUAUAUUUUUUAUAUUGUUGGUUAAUGUUAAACGUAUAUUUUUAAGUGUUGUAGGAUGUUUUGUGUGUUUAUUUAUUUAUUAAUUAAUUUAUUUAUCUAUUUAUGUAUU
Molecule: long non-coding RNA, 1019 nt
Organism: Scylla paramamosain (green mud crab)
Lineage: Eukaryota; Metazoa; Arthropoda; Malacostraca; Decapoda; Portunidae
Exons: 3
Source: RefSeq, a predicted model, not a curated record